GUCACUGAAAUCUUAAAGAAAGAGGUUUUCAGGAGCACAAGAAAAGGAGAGAUGAUGGACACCAUAAUCCUCGAAGAAGGCUUCGUGGAAGAGGGGGAACCUGACCCAGACCUUUAAGAAUGAAGAUAUUGGAUGGGCUGAUAAAAGCGGAGAUGGUCAUUCUGGGAAGGAAAAUGAGAUGAACGAAAGCUUAGAAGAGAAGGAGGUAACACAUGCUCAGAGGAGGGGGAGGCAGAAGACUGGCCUGGACGGGAGGAGAAGGCGAG
RNAcentral lists this long non-coding RNA (266 nucleotides) under Equus asinus (donkey). Its description in RNAcentral is "lncRNA (ENSEASG00005034839.1)". The record is from RNAcentral. Lineage: Eukaryota; Metazoa; Chordata; Mammalia; Perissodactyla; Equidae.